RNAcentral lists this long non-coding RNA (6830 nucleotides) under Podarcis lilfordi (Lilford's wall lizard). The record is from RNAcentral. Lineage: Eukaryota; Metazoa; Chordata; Lepidosauria; Squamata; Lacertidae.
AGAAAAGAAGCCACGCUGCUUAAAGCAACAAGAACUUGGAAACUGCUCCCCUGAUUGGCUGAGCUGAUCUGACUUUGAACCACACGCUCCCUGCUUCCUCUCGGCCACUCCCCAGACCGAGAAUACUCUUCUUUCCCCCUUUAAUUCCCCGCAGAACAGGCCUGCGCAGAGCUUGUUUGAGGCUGGGGACAGGAGCCACGUUUCACCCUUUAAGUGCACCGUUGGCUGGGAGGCAUGGGCUGCUCUUGCCAUGGCAGUGUAAGUCCGGCAGGUCCCUGGCUGCCCCACCCCAACUCAGCCCUCCAAGGCACGUGUACUCCAAGGCCAUCCUUCCGCCCUUGCUCAGAGGAUGGACUCAGGAUCUGAGUCAGUUCGUAUGGGGAGAGGCAGGCCUUGAAGUCCUGCAGUCCUGAGCAAUUUAAGGCUUUAUAGGCCAAAGCCAGCACUUUGAAUUGGGCCUAGGAGCUAACUGGCAGCCAGUGCAGUCAGGCCAGGCUUUGUCAAAGCAUCUUGCCCCUUUGAGCAACCUGGCUGCUGAAUUGUGCACCAAACCAUCUUCAGAGGCAGCCCAUAUAUAACGCACAAAUCUGUAGUUUGUGAGAGAAUUGUUAGCAGACCCCAUCCCCCCCCCCGAACUACAGUCCUCAGAGUGGUCUAACAAUCAAUUUCCCUUUGCAGGGAACUCUGGGAAUCAUAGCUCUGGGGGGCGGGGUGAGGUAUCAGCAUCCAUAGCAAACUACCGUUCCCAGGAUUUGGGGGACAAUGUGACAGCUUAAAGUGGUGUGAUGCUGCUUUAAAUGUAUAGAGGGAUUUAUACCCCACUUUUUAAUAGAGUCCUUCAGGUGGCUAACAGUGUUAGUCAAAUGCAACAGAUACACCAAAAUACCAAACCAACCCAGCCCUAGGCAGCCCCACUGGAGCAGGAGCAGCCAGAUGCUCCGUCACAUAUGGCAGUUGCUGUAAGUUGGCUCUGUGAGGGUCAGAGAAGUGCGUCCAACUGGGGCCGGCCCCAAUGCUGCGCCUGCCUGCCCGCCCAACUCCCCCCCCUUCUUCUUCCAUGGGGAUUACAGCCGAGGAAAGUCAACGUGCAAUAAGGACAUAUCACCACGUAGAGUAGGGAGACUGGGACGGUAAUAUAUUACGCUAGGGACAUAGGUGGAACAAAGUGACAUCAAUAUUAUGACUGCAGCCCUUAAAAACAGCAACCUUAAUUGGUUUAUUAUAAGAGUCUUAGUUAACCUAUUGAUUAAAUUUGCAUCAAUAUGCAUAAGGGCAGGAAGACCUCCCUUAUUUUUAAAUAAUGCAUUCACAAUUCCUAGAAGGUAUCGUUUAGAAGAGGCAUUUCCUUCUAUGUAUAUGAUCCACAGAUUAUAUAAUUAUUUUUAAAAGAUGAAUGGGACGUGCACAUUCACAUAAGGUACUUCUAUAUGAUUUUGGGCUAUCCUGCCUUUCACCCUGCAGUCCAUGCUGUUCAAGAGAGUCUCCUCGAGAAUGGCUUUUCCAGGACUACAGAGGAGUCAGGGGUGGGGAAGAGAGGAUAAGAAAGAAUUCACACAACCUUUGGAUCCAACUCAAUGUUGAUAAAGAUUAAAAUCAGCUGCUAUAUUAGUUGGAGGUUCCUUUUUAUUCCAUUUUGAUUACACACUGCAGCCCUAACCCUAAUUUUGAUAAUGCCCUUCUCAUUCCCAGCAUCUGACAACAAUUCCUUCCACAAUAUAAACAUGGCUCCUCUCGGAUGACUUUGACUCCCAACACUUGAAAAUGCUGUAGAGAUGCUAUCUAUCAUCACCAAAAUCCAACCUUGGAAAGCAUGAUCCACCUUAUCUCACAAGUAAAGGUGUGGGAAAGAUAUUCUUUCAUGACUUGCAAAAGCAGCACCACACAUAACAAGAGGGGAAAGGGGAAGGAAACCGACAGCCAACCACAGUUAUGAGAGACAACCUGCACAGUGAACCAAGUGCCAAGACAGUUACAAAUAGCCAGGUGCGUACAGAGGAAUACCAAUCAAGAUCUCUUCCUUCUCCCUAAUCUCUAUAAGGUGCCACUUUUCAAAUAGCGCUUCAGGGUAGCUUGAUAAUUGCUUCUUUUAAAAUACCUAAAUUAAAUAUACAUCUGUAAUGCCAGGCACAUUUGUCUCAUACCUUUUUUCAGCAGCAUGACACUUUUUAAAGUAGUGUUGCUGAUUUAUUACCAAUAUGACUUGAUUUUCAGUCAUUUCUGUGAUUUAUAAAUCAGGACUUUACAUACUCUGGGUAUUAAGGUCUAUUUUAUGAAUCCCAGUUUAUUUGUUAAAGAAGACUGAUUUAGUGGACAGAUUUAUUAAUCACUGCUUGGAAAUUCAAGCUAAAGUCUUGGUUUAAAGUCUUACAUUUCUAAAUUAGAUGCUUAAAUCAAAUUCCAAUUUAUACAUAAUGGGCUUGGUUACAAGGGAUGUGCAGGGAAGUCAUACAUCUGCUACCUGCUUCUACCUGAGGAUACAAAAAUAUGUCAUGUUCAUCACGAGUAACUUAGUUAUUACCAGCCUAGCUGGAAAUGAAGCUACUUUUAAUCAAAAUCUUGCCCCCAGUUAGAAUUGCUACAUCUUGGGGUCAGAAAUUUCCUUCAUUACCAAAGGCUACAGCCUUCAGUCCACAGACUCCAAAGACACUUAUUCUUCUGCAGUUUCAUUUAAGUCAAUAGAAUUACUCCAGAACUAUUUCAAAAGUAAUUAGUAUGAGACUGCAGCAUAAAUGGCAAAUCUUUCCCCUCCACCCCAGUGCUUGGUGGCCUUGGUUGUAGUACUGUAGGAAUGUGUUGUAUUUUAAAGGCAUGGCAUCUAUCUAUAUCUAUCUAUCUAUCAUCUAUCUAUCUAUCUAUCUAUCUAUCUAUCUAUCUAUCUAUUCCCUAUUGUCCCCCAGUAAGGGUUCAGGGAGCACACUCAUCAUGCUAAAUCCCCCAGAUCCAGAAAAGAGGUCUAUGUCAGAAAGAAUCCAGGAGGAGUUGGAAGGCUAAGCUGAGUCAGGAGGGGAGCAGCCUUAAUGCUGGCUGUGGGAGCCAGUCUGCUGCCACUACCAUUGGCUGGUUCACUUUACCCAGCGAUAGAUUUCCUCCUGACGGACAGCUUGCUUAUGAGUAGCAGGAAAGUGAAGCACUGGAUAUGAUUAGGGAGCCACAUGUAAAAGCCAGAGGAAGGAGAUAACCAAGUGGAAGCUCUUUUCCGUCCAGCCAAAAUCACGGAGUUUGGAAAGGACCCUGAGGGUCAUCUAGUCCAACCACUCCAGUGCAGGAGUCUCAUCUAAAGCAUCCAUGUCAGAUGGCCACCUCUGCUUAAAACCUCCAAAGAAGGAAAGUCUGCCACCUUCUCAGUUAGUCCGUUCCACUGUCAAACAGCUCUUACCAACAGAAAGUUUUUUCCUGAUUUUUGGUUGGAAUCUUUCUUGUAACUUGAAGCCAUUGCUUCAGAAAACUGGACACACUACUCCACGUGUGGUCUGAUCAAGGCAGAAUACAGCUGUACUAUUACUUCCCUCGAUCUGGACACUAUACUUCUGUUGAUGCAGCCUAGAAAAGCAUUAGCUUUUUCCGCUGCGGCAUCACAUGGUUGACUCAUAUUCUCCAAUCUGUGAAGGUUAUCUUGAAUCCCAAUUCUGUCUUUAGUGGCACUGACUACCCCUCCCAGUUUGGUGUCAUCUGCAGAUUUUAUGAGCAUCCCCUCAAUUCCGUCAUCCAAGUUGUUUAUAAAGAUGCUGAACUUCAAUAGACCCAGGGCAAAACCCUGUGGCACCCCACAUGUCGUUUCCCCCAGGAUGACGAAGAACCAUUAACAAGAACUCUUGGGGUUCACUCAGUCAACCAGCUAGAAGUCCACCUAACAGUCACCAACCCAAAUUUUACCAGCUUCUCUGAAAGAAUAUAAUGAGGGACUUGCCAAAAGCCUUACUGAAAUCAAGAUGUACUAUAUGAAAGCGGCUUGUGCAAUGCCUCUUCUUCAAAUUUUAAUAUAACAUAAGAGAUCUAAUGGGUUAUACGAAAGCUGCACCUAGUCCACAAUACAAUUCCCGACCAGUGGAAUUUGUUCAACACAAUCAAAAUGACCAACACCUUGGUCAUUUUGAUUGUGCUUUUCUGAUCCAUUUCAUAAACUUGCUAUCCAGUAGUAAUUGGAUAAUGUGUCAGGAAAGCCAGCUUGGCCUUAUGUGUUUUACUUUCACUGAUUGGAGGAUAGAUAUGCAACCAGUGGUUUCCAAAGACCAAAACUGCAAAACUGGUUGGUCAAAAUAGCAUCAACACAGAGCAAUGAACUAAAGCAGGAUGUGUGGGAAACUGCUGGUCCAUUACUCAUUUUCAUCUGUCACAUGGCCUUUCCUCCUUGGCCUUCUCUAUCUCCUCUUUUCCUCUAUGCUUCCUCAGCCCUGGAAUAAAGCAUUACAGUACCAGCAAUCUGAGAAGAAGCAGGAAUCCCAAGAGUUUUUUCAGGUACAAAUUUGUGUCUCCCUGUUUUCUUUUAUAAAGUUUUCUGUACCUUGCAGAUGGUCUAGUUAGGCUUCGCUCUGACACCAGGGGAAGAUAACUGGCAGUCUAGAUACCAAUCUCUUUGCCCAGCACCAGCUAGUGACCCUGAUCACUAAUAUCACAAUCUGGACAUCACUUACUGUUUAAUCAAAAUACAAACAUGAAAUGUUGCAUAUGUCCUUGUCAGAAUGCAGAGGCACCUUGAGAAGAUUGGGAGGAAUUCUUUCUUGUACACAGUCAUGCCAGCGAAAAUAUGUACCACAUUGUAGAGAGCAUGAUUGCACCUUGAAAGUACAUGAAAACGUUGUGUGGGGGAUGUUACUUGACAAAACUUGGAUGGUGGACCUACAUAGGAUAUCUGAAAUGCAGAUGCAAAUCUUUACGAAUUGUGUGUGCCAACAGCAGGAGACAUAAAGAUGAGACUAACAUUUUCCUUCGCACAAGGUGCUGGCAUGAUAGAGCAGGGGCUUCUGCAGUGAUAUUUUGGAGCUACUUCACAUCAGAUGCCAAAUGUUUGAUUUGGAAAAUCAUUAGCAGACAUUAUCCUUGAGGUUGUGUGACUGGGGACUUGAUGAGCAGUAGCAGCAGCAACCUCCCAACCCAUCCUCUUACGAAAUAACUCUUCAGUGUAGAAAGCUUUCCUUUUGUGUUCAUCCAGGUUCUCUGUGUUUUCUCUGCUGCAAUCCCUCCACAUCUGUUCAACAAGCCCAUCUCCAGCUGAGAAGAAGGUACUGAUAGAUUGCACAGCCAUGUUGCACAUUCUGUUGUUCUUGGCAGUAGCUUCCCCUUUUGCAGCAUCCAAAAGUGCACAGUAGCUGCAAGUGCUACAUUCUCUCCUGCACAUUGAGACAAAUUGGAUGGCUUUGAUAUGACAUGGACCAGCACAAAAGGCGUCGAGUCUGUCCCUGGAGGCAUCAGCUGGCACUGCGCAGAACAUCUUAAGCAGCACGUGACGUUCUGAUGGGAUGGUGGUAGCAGAAGUUAAAAGUAAGAAUUGCCUCUCAGAAAUUAGGAUUUCAGCAUCGUAGCCUUUACAAACAGAUUAAAACUUAACUAAGGUGAAACUGCCUGUUGAACAUGCAAAGCAAAAUCAAUGAGAGAUUUCUUCUAUUUCUAGGAAAGGGAAACCAAGCAGACUGCAAGUUUAUCCAGGUCAAUCAGAGUUCUCAACUCAGCUCAGACUUCUCUAGUAGAUUCACAGAGAAUACAGCUCACAAAAAAAUAAGAAGGGGAAUCAAGGAAGAAAAAUAUUUCCUCCCCCAUGAAGACCUAUUGUUUUGGGUUCUGGUUCCAUGCUGGAAUCCUUAGCUCAGUAUUUGGAUUCUUUUAGAACACCGUUUAUUAUACAUUUCGUGCCCAGUGUUAGAAACACUAUCAUUUCAUUAAUGGACUGAAGGUCUGAAGCCUGAUAAUCACACAGGUUUAAUUAUGCUAGAUGUUAGCUCAUCAUAUAUUUCAGUGAAUCUAUUUUAAUUUCUCGCCCAUCAGCUAAUCCACCUACUCAUUUCUUACUGGAUCUCAUUUCUUACCUGGUUCAAACACUGGCUCAUGGUUUGAUCAUUCAUGUCUGUCACACUCCACCUCAAGCCUCACCUUUCACACAUGGUUUGAUGAAACCAUAGUUUAUCCUGUGCAGGUGUAAUAAACUAGAGUUUGACCAAACCAAUAAGUGAGGGAAAAGAUUUUCGGUGAAUCAAUAUAUCUGAUAUGUAUGAUUAUAUACUCACACAGAGUCUGCAAAAUCGGACUUCUGCAGUUUAGUUUUGUAUAAUGUCUCUGUCUCAUUCUCAAACUCUAUAAAGAAUUAUGCUAUUCUUAAAGAAACUCCUUUUAUGGUUCUGUCUCUGAGUCAACUUUAAUCCAGCAGCCAAUCCAGCCCAUGAGUCUGUGUCCUGAGAUUGUUGCAGAGCUUAAUUAUAAUAAAUGCAUGUAAAGCUUCCGGAAAUCCCUUGUACCUGAUUGAAGGUACACAAGCACCCCAAUUUGUUAUUACAUGUUUUCAUCCCUGCAAAACAGUCUCUCAGUUUUAAAUUUACACUAAAUAUCUCACCUCUUGCCCUCCUCUUUUUUUUUUUAAGGUUACAGCUAAGCAUUUAAAAUUACUUUGCCCAAUGUUGGAAAAGAUAUGCAGGAGUAGCCGUGCAAUUCUUGGAACUGAUUAAACCAAAUCUUUUUCAACUGGAAGCUGAAACACUUUAUCAGGCAGAGACAGCACCUACAAAGCAAAUUCAAUGGAAUCACCUGUGCCCCUAAUAGUAAUAAAGUGGAAAGCAGACACUACAGCUGCAACCAGAAUAAUAAAAGAGGUAGAGCUUCUACUCUCUAUAAAGUUAUUCCAC